UAAAAAUGUAAAAUUUUAACUAAAAAAUUAAUAGUUAAGUUCUUUAAAUUUAAAAAAUUUGGCGGUAUUUUAGUCUAUUCAGAGGAACCUGUUCUAUAAUUGAUAAUCCACGAUUAGAAAUACUUAAUUUAGAAGUUUGUAUAUCGUUGUUUAAAUGAUUUUAUAAGAAAUAAAAUUAUUGAAAAAUUAAAUUAAAUUUAUAAUCAAAUCAAGGUGCAGUUUAUAAUUAAGAAGAAAUGGGUUACAAUAAAAAUUAUUUAUACGGAUUAUAUUAUUAAUUAAUAUUUGAAGGAGGAUUUGAUAGUAAAUAUAUAUAUAUAUAUAUAUUGAUUAAAGCUCUAUAAUAUGU
Molecule: ribosomal RNA, 349 nt
Filed under: Orectogyrus discors
Lineage: Eukaryota; Metazoa; Arthropoda; Insecta; Coleoptera; Gyrinidae
Description: partial 12S ribosomal RNA
Source: RNAcentral